Molecule: long non-coding RNA, 2647 nt
Filed under: Polistes fuscatus (common paper wasp)
Lineage: Eukaryota; Metazoa; Arthropoda; Insecta; Hymenoptera; Vespidae
Description: uncharacterized LOC122517733
Source: RNAcentral
GUUCGAGGUUCGAGGCUCUCAGUCGUGCCGGGAACUCGCUUCGUUGCGGGGUGACCUCUUCUAUUCUCGGUUCAGGUAUACACGUCGUCGCGUUUUCCUCGCCACGUAUAACCUGACAUAUUUAUUUUGCAUCAUGUCAGAUAAUAAACGAGUAAACGAUUAAUUUUGUUGUUGGCCUCACUCCGGCUGACACGUUGAUAUUUUAAACUCUAUUGCUACCUGCUACCGUGUUAAUAUCGAGACUCGUUUCAGUUUGAUCAUAUCGUGAGCUAUAGAUAAAGUAUUAGAUUGUUUUUUUUUAGUGUUAGCAUUAUCAAGAAUCCUAUUGUUAUUAUGUAUUAGUAUUUAAUUGAUAUUAUAUUUUGAUGUGACUCGGAGAACUUUUAAGGGAAAGUUCUGGCACGAGAUAGUGUCGAUUAAAGAAAAAACAACAAACGAACGAACAAACAAACGAUUAAUCUUGACGUUUGCUCGGUCACUGGAUGUCCAAUCGUAAAAAAAAAGGGGAGGAACAGGUAUGAGAACUUACCGAUUGAUCGAAACAAUAAGAAAAGUCGAAGCCCGCCAAAAGGGAUUUACUUAAAGAGAUCUAACCGUUAUUACAUUGAAAAUGACAUCUUUAUUUCGGUAAAUAAAGGGAAGUGUACUUCUAUCAAUCAUCCGUUGGAAAAGUCCAAUCGCGUUUCCGUUGAAUCCUUCAUAGGGAAAAGAAUAAAAAGCGAUUUCUUGAUCUCGUUCUAUCUUUCAUUCCUUUUUUCCUCCCCCACAACGUGGAAGCAUCGAACCAUUUGACCAAUACGAUGCCAAAGACAAAAAAAGGGACACGUUGCUAUCGAUGAACGAAGGAACGAACGAAGGGAUCGAACGGGAGUGUUUCGUCCUUCGUCAAAGAUCUGUUACUUUAAAUUAGAAACUCAUGAAAAGAUAUAAUUUCCCUGUUUUCCAGUAACUCUAUGUGAUGCACGAUGCGAGUUCUAUCUUAAGAGGUUUUCUAUUUCGAAAAAAAGGGGGAAGAAAAUGAUCAAUUGGUCGUUGUAAUUCUUAUCGCUUGGAGAAAAACACCUGUCAUAUAUCCAACGUGUUUUUUCUUAUCAAUUACAAGACAUUUUAUCAACAAUCUUGUACAUAUAUAUAUAUAUUUCUUAUCGUGAAUUUAUUCAAGCAAUAAUCAAAGAACACGAUACAUCUACUAUUACUACUACUACUACUAUUGCUACUGUACACGAGCAACGAUAAUUGAAUAUAAUUAACGUCACUGAUAAUACAGUACAAGGAUUGCAACUUUGUUUCUCGCCAAUUAGCGCAUUAAAGUCUUAUCGGUCAUCUGUCGGUUGGUUGGUCGGUUGGUCUCCCGGAUUGCUUCGUUACGAUUUGAUCUUACCGAGAAGACGUAUAAUUGACGUAACUGUGUGUGUGUAUGUGAGAGAGAAAGAAAAAGGGAAAGGGAAGAAGGAGGAACAAGAAGAGGAGGAAGAACAAAAUCGAAAGACAAGAUAAAACGCGGAAUCGUGAGAGAGAGUCAAACGUGCUCACGUUGCGUUCUUUUUUCGAGUGAGGGAAAAGAAAAAAAGAAAGAAAGAAGGAAAGAAAGAGAGAGAGAGAGAGAGAGAAAUCUAGGUGAAGCUCAAUGAGGAACGAUUGACAAUCCCGUUUUAUUGCAGUUUUCUCUGUUAUUGUUCGCGCGUAAUCUUACUUCCCUUACCCCAACCCCCAACCCUCAACCCCCAUCUUCCUCCUCCUCUUUCUUCUUGUCCCUCACCUCUCUCUCUUUCUCAUUUUCUUCUUUUAUGCACAUUGAAACAGCUUUUAACGAGCUAUUCUCUUAAAGAAGAUAGACGGUCCUCCUCCCCCGCAGUUAACUCGAAAUUUUCGUUGGUUGUUCUACGAUCGAGGAUCGAUUCUACGAUGAUUUAACGAUGACGUAAAAGAUUAAGAUUAGGAUAAGAAAGAAAAUUAAAAACGUGGAUUGAGACGAAAGACAUAUUAUGCAUUUGUGCAUAUAACUUAUUUGUAUUAUUGGGAAGAAACAAUAUGGCAAAGUAUCCUACUCGUCGAAGGGAUUUCGAUCAGGAUUGUUUUUCAUUCGCUACGAGGGAUUAAUUAUUUCCUACGAUAACUAUCGAAUCGUAAGAACAAGGGAAUAAAUUUGUUACCACGUUACUGACAACAUUUUACGUGGGUUUCUGUUAAAAAAAACGUGAAAAGGAAUGUAAAAAGGGAUGUAACAUUUGAGGGAAAGAUUUGGAAAGUCCGUUGUUAUACCUGCAGCGAGAAAAAGGAUCGAUCGAUCGAUCAUGAGAUCGAAUUUCUACUAGAAGAUAGAAGAGGUUUCAAAACAAGCUGAAUAAAGAAGAAAGAAAGAAAGAAAGAAAGAGAGAGGAAGAGAGGAAGAUAGAACGGAUAAAGGAGAGCAUGCUGUCUUGGAGCACGUGACGAACGGUGUUGUUUUCUUUUGGGACUUCAAAAAAGGUGAGUAGUAUCGCAAACGCCUAGCUAGUGCUCUCUCGACGCCCUGUAAAAUGCAAGGGGAAACAAAUUACUCGAAUUCUACUAUGGACUACUGUCAAAAGUUAUCUUUUUACGAAGUAAGUAGAAACAUAAUAAGCUUGUCUAUGAAAAUAUAAAAGAGAAGAAAAGAAAUUCACAG